CUCUGGGGAGGCAAAAUCCUUUCCAAGAGUCCCAUGAAAAGAGAAAAUCAUUUCACAUCCAUGAAGGAGAGGAAGUACUGUUGGGAAAAAAAGAAGAAAGGAGGACAGGCAUGUGUGGAGAGCGGCUGGACCGAACCGUUCCUGGUGAGAAAUAUUGCAGAUGAGUCUGGCCACAUUCAGAAAGCAACCAUGUCUCAUCUGAAGCCAUACUUCACAUGUGAACAUGAGCUGGAUGCUGGGACAAAAAAUGUUGAAACCACUGACUAUGACUGAGAAAGCAGACGUGGCUGUGGACGGUGGCGAUGCAUCAGUUUGAGAAUCAACUAAAAUCACCACGUGCCACUGUUUUCUGUUUGCCUUAUCACUGGUUUGUUCUGGAUUUGUUAUCAUGCAUGCUGUUUUAUAAGGUAAUUUUGCUGGUGAUGCAGAGAAGGUGUGUGUUGCUUUAGUCUGAAGAUGGACUGGACUGCAUCUCCCAGCAUGCACUGUGUGCAGAGAGACCAAUUCAGAUGCUUGCACUUCCAGACUUCAAGACAAUGUUUGAUUGAAAUACCUUUUUGGUUAAUCUAGUUGAUCAGCAGUCAUGAAUGGCAGGGUCAAAAUGCUAAAACUUUGAAGAAAAGACUUUGAUUUAGGCUGUUCCUGUUGACAGUAGAGCUGAUUUGAGGACGUCUGCAUGUGCUCCACACGGUCCGCUGGGAAUGAAGUAUCGGGCAGGAACACGUUACAAACACACUGUCCAAACUCCCCGAUGGAGCCGUCGACGCUGCCAGAGCCCCAAUCCUCUAGAGACUGGACAACAUGGCUUUAUUCUUCUUUAUGUUAAGAUAUGUUUUAAAAAUUGAAUCUUUGGAAACAGUUCAGCAAUGAAUCAAAACUGAGAUUGUGAGGGUCAGAGUGACUCUUACCAGCCAGGCAUGAGCAGGAGCCGCAAGCAGGAGGAGCAGCAGGAGAUCCAUCAUGCUUCUCUUUUCAGAAUAUGUUUCUCUUUCUCAGCUACUGCCUUAUAUGCAGCAUGUUAUCAAAACUAAUCUACAGCACAUGUCUUAUUCUCAUGCUUAUUGCGUUUGACACCCAAUGGAUGUACGAUGACGUUCCUUAUUAAAACAUAUGCACACAGUUCAUGUUAGCUUAACACGUUGUAUGUGUUUUAUUGGUGGAUUCUCAUAACAUGCAUGAGAGUCAUAAUUGACCUGAGAGGAAACAUUGUUUGCCAAACCUGGAGAAGUUUCAUGGACUACUGUAAUAACAUGCCAUCACAAUGACUGAGUGCUGGUGUGAUCUAGACCUCUGUCUGGCCAUCUGUGUGUCCAUCUAUUCAUCUAUCCAUGCUAAAAUAAUGCAAUAAACUAUAGAGCACCU
This is a long non-coding RNA of Megalobrama amblycephala (Wuchang bream), 1362 nucleotides long. RefSeq lists it as uncharacterized. The transcript has 4 exons. The record is from RefSeq and is a predicted model, not a curated record. NCBI's taxonomy places the organism in Eukaryota, Metazoa, Chordata, Actinopteri, Cypriniformes, Xenocyprididae.